Molecule: ribosomal RNA, 494 nt
Filed under: uncultured bacterium
Lineage: Bacteria
Description: partial 16S ribosomal RNA
Rfam family: Bacterial small subunit ribosomal RNA
Source: RNAcentral
GACGAACGCUGGCGGCGUGCUUAACACAUGCAAGUCGAACGGAAAGGCCUGCUUUCCCUUGUGGAUUGCGGGUACUCGAGUGGCGAACGGGUGAGUAACACGUGAGUGAUCUGCCCCCAACUUGGGUAUAAGCCUGGGAAACUGGGUCUAAUUCCCGAUAGGACUGCAGGGUGGUGCCGGUGGUGGAAAACGAUUUUCUAGUGGUUGGGGAUGAGCUCGCGGCCUAUCAGCUUGUUGGUGGGGUAAUGGCCUACCAAGGCGGCGACGGGUAGCCGGCCUGAGAGGGUGGACGGCCACAUUGGGACUGAGAUACGGCCCAGACUCCUACGGGAGGCAGCAGUGGGGAAUAUUGCACCAUGGGCGGAAGCCUGAUGCAGCGACGCCGCGUGGGGGAUGACGGCCUUCGGGUUGUAAACUCCUUUCGACCGCGAGGAAGCCACCUGGUUGGAAGGGUGGUGACGGUAGUGGUAGAAGAAGCACCGGCUAACUACGUG